RNAcentral lists this long non-coding RNA (1025 nucleotides) under Aotus nancymaae (Ma's night monkey). Its description in RNAcentral is "lncRNA (ENSANAG00000039274.1)". Lineage: Eukaryota; Metazoa; Chordata; Mammalia; Primates; Aotidae. The record is from RNAcentral.
GACACCUUGGGAGGUGGGCUCCUGUUUUGGUACAAGACAAAUACCAAAGAGACCAAGCUUGGAUUUGUUUUAACAGGCAGGUUCAUGGGGAGGAAAAACACCAGUCGAGAGUAUAUAAGAAAAAGAGAUUUAUUUACUAUAUAUAUAUAUAUUUACAUUACCAUCCACAUCAACACCGGCAUAAGAAUCAGCACGGGUAAUCACAGCAACACCGGCAGCACGGGUAAUUACAGCAACACCGGCACGGGUAAUCGCAAAGUCAAUCUGGAGGCCUCACAGCAACACCGGCAAAUAAAUCAGAAAGGAAUCAUCACGGGCAUACACCGGAAAGAAAUCAGCACGGGUAUACACCGGCAAAGAUCAGCACGGGCAUCCGGCAACAAAGAUCAGCACGGGUGUCCGGCAAAGAAAUCAGCAGGGGUAACUGCAAAGCCAAGCCUUCUGUCGACUCUUAGUAAUAAGCUCUCUCCUGUAACAUAACACUAGACUGUUCUUCUUUAUACUGUAUUAACACUGGACUAUCUUUUAUACUGUGCUAAAAAAAGAAGUUCAUUUCUUUUAUAUUGUGCUAAAGAAAGAAGCUUAUUUACAGUUUAAGAUAUGUUGACUCCGUCUUCAUUAUGCAACUGCGUCCUUGAAUUGCUUUACUAAAAAGUGGACCACGGGAACUGGCCAGGUUCCCAGAUCUGGGUUCAAGGUGAGUUGAGCUCACUCUGUGCACCGAAUGCUCUCAACUUAUACAAGGAAAUGAAGAUCGUGAGGAGUCUGUGCAAAGCUUUAUAAACAAUCUAGUUAACCCUUACACUUGAAAACUGGCACAAGACAAGGAUGCCCUCUCUCACCACUUCUAUUCAACAUAGCAUUAAAAUUUAUGGCCAGAGCAAUCAGGCAAGAGAAAGAAACAAAGCAUAUUCAAAUAGGAAGAGAAGAAGUCAAAUUAUCUUUGUUUGCAGAUCACAUGACCCUAUAUCUAGAAAAUCCCAUCCUCUCAGCCCAAAAGCUUCAUAAGCUAAUAAGCAACUUCA